This 23-nucleotide non-coding RNA is filed under the name Arabidopsis thaliana (thale cress). Lineage: Eukaryota; Viridiplantae; Streptophyta; Magnoliopsida; Brassicales; Brassicaceae. The record is from RNAcentral.
CUAGAGUGUGGGCUUCCAACCUA